UGAGAAUGAAUCGGUCCAAGCCGAUGGG
This 28-nucleotide small RNA is filed under the name Bombyx mori (domestic silkworm). Its description in RNAcentral is "ovarian small RNA-32132". Lineage: Eukaryota; Metazoa; Arthropoda; Insecta; Lepidoptera; Bombycidae. The record is from RNAcentral.